AACGCGAAGAACCUUACCUGGGCUCGAAAUGUUGUGGACCGGGGUAGAAAUAUCCCUUCCCCGCAAGGGGCCGCAAUAUAGGUGCUGCAUGGCUGUCGUCAGCUCGUGUCGUGAGAUGUUGGGUUAAGUCCCGCAACGAGCGCAACCCUUAUCUUCAGUUGCUACCAUUUAGUUGAGCACUCUGACGAAACCGCCUCGGAUAACGGGGAGGAAGGUGGGGAUGACGUCAAGUCCUCAUGGCCUUUAUGUCCAGGGCUACACACGUGCUACAAUGGCCGGUACAAACCGUCGCAAACCCGCGAGGGGGAGCUAAUCGGAAAAAGCCGGCCUCAGUUCGGAUUAGAGUCUGCAACUCGACUCUAUGAAGCUGGAAUCGCUAGUAAUCGCGGAUCAGAACGCCGCGGUGAAUACGUUCCCGGGCCUUGUACACACCGGCUAC
This 439-nucleotide ribosomal RNA is filed under the name uncultured bacterium. RNAcentral describes it as "bacterial SSU rRNA". It matches the Rfam family "Bacterial small subunit ribosomal RNA", at positions 958 to 1397 of the family's 1533-position model. The record is from RNAcentral.